Molecule: ribosomal RNA, 181 nt
Filed under: uncultured bacterium
Lineage: Bacteria
Description: partial 16S ribosomal RNA
Rfam family: Archaeal small subunit ribosomal RNA
Source: RNAcentral
UCCUAGCAGUAAACGAUGCGGGCUAGGUGUUGGCAUCACUGCGAGUGGUGCCAGUGCCGAAGGGAAGCCGUUAAGCCCGCCAUCUGGGGAGUACGGUCGCAAGGCUGAAACUUAAAGGAAUAGGCGGGGGAGCACAACAAGGGGUGAAGCCUGCGGUUCAAUUGGAUUCGACGCCGGUCCA